UACAGAGGUGGCAAGCGUUGUUCGGAAUUACUGGGCGUAAAGGGCGCGUAGGCGGCCUUCUAAGUCAGAUGUGAAAGCCCCGGGCUCAACCUGGGAAUUGCAUUUGAGACUGAAUAGCUAGGGUGCGGUAGAGGGAAGCGGAAUUUCCGGUGUAGCGGUGAAAUGCGUAGAUAUCGGAAGGAACAUCAGUGGCGAAAGCGGCUUCCUGGACCAGCACCGACGUUCAGGCACGAAAGCGUGGGGAGCAAACAGG
RNAcentral lists this ribosomal RNA (253 nucleotides) under uncultured bacterium. Its description in RNAcentral is "partial 16S ribosomal RNA". It matches the Rfam family "Bacterial small subunit ribosomal RNA", at positions 524 to 776 of the family's 1533-position model. The record is from RNAcentral.